UCCUACGGGGGGCAGCAGUGGGGAAUAUUGCACAAUGGGGGGAACCCUGAUGCAGCGACGCCGCGUGAGUGAAGAAGUAUUUCGGUACGUAAAGCUCUAUCAGCAGGGAAGAAAAAAGGACGGUACCUGAGUAAGAAGCCCCGGCUAACUACGUGCCAGCAGCCGCGGUAAUACGUAGGGGGCAAGCGUUAUCCGGAUUUACUGGGUGUAAAGGGAGCGUAGACGGUGAGACAAGUCUGAAGUGAAAGCCCGGGGAUCAACCACGGGACUGCUUUGGAAACUGCCCGACUGGAGUGCUGGAGAGG
RNAcentral lists this ribosomal RNA (305 nucleotides) under uncultured bacterium. Its description in RNAcentral is "partial 16S ribosomal RNA". It matches the Rfam family "Bacterial small subunit ribosomal RNA", at positions 337 to 657 of the family's 1533-position model. The record is from RNAcentral.